Molecule: ribosomal RNA, 1834 nt
Filed under: human gut metagenome
Description: bacterial LSU rRNA
Rfam family: Bacterial large subunit ribosomal RNA
Source: RNAcentral
AGUCAGUAGGAGUAGACCCGAAACCGGGUGAUCUAUCCAUGUCCAGGUUGAAGCUGCCGUAAGAGGUAGUGGAGGACCGAACCCACAUCCGUUGAAAAGGGUGGGGAUGAGGUGUGGAUAGGGGAGAAAUUCCAAUCGAACCCGGAGAUAGCUGGUUCUCCUCGAAAUAGCUUUAGGGCUAGCCUCGAUACAGAUUUGCGGAGGUAGAGCACUGAAUUUCCUAGGGGGCGUCAAAGCCUACCGAAGAAUAUCAAACUCCGAAUGCCGCGUAAUCGAUUAUCGGGAGUCAGACUGCACGAGAUAAGUUGGGCGGUCAAAAGGGAAAGAGCCCAGACCUUCAGUUAAGGUCCCCAAGUGCGCGUUAAGUGGAAAAGGAUGUGGGAUUUCGAAGACAACCAGGAUGUUGGCUCAGAAGCAGCCAUCCAUUCAAAGAGUGCGUAAUAGCUCACUGGUCGAGAGGUCCUGCGCCGAAAAUGUCCGGGGCUGAAACGCGCCACCGAAACUAAGGAACCGAAAGGUUGGUAGAGGAGCAUUGCAUGCGGGAAGAAGCAGUACCGUAAGGAGCUGUGGACUGCAUGGAAGAGAGAAUGCCGGAAUGAGUAGCGAGAAUAAGGUGGGAAUCCUUAUGGCCGAAUAUCCAAGGUUUCCAGAGUAAAGCUGAUCUGCUCUGGGUAAGUCGGGGCCUAAGGCGAGGACGAGAGUCGUAGCCGAUGGACAACAGGUGGAGAUUCCUGUACUGCGGUAUGACAGAACUGUGGGGACACGUAAGGAAAGCGGAAGCCGGGAAUGGAAAGCCCGGUGCAAGCGGGGUACCAGUCACUUUGGCAAAUCCGGGUGGCAAUGGGAAGCCGUGAUGCGGAGCGAAAUAAAGUAGCGAAGUCCGUGAGCCAUGCGUCAAGAAAAGCCGCUAUCGUUUAUACCGUACCCGUACCGUAAACCGACACAGGUGGAUGAGGAGAGAAUCCUAAGGCCGGCGGAAGAAGCAUUGUCAAGGAACUCGGCAAAAUGGCCCCGUAACUUAGGGAUAAGGGGUGCCUGGGAAACCAGGCCGCAGAGAAUAGGCUCAAGCAACUGUUUAGCAAAAACACAGGUCUAUGCGAAACCGAAAGGUGAGGUAUAUGGGCUGACGCCUGCCCGGUGCUGGAAGGUUAAGAGGAGAGGUUAGCGGUAACGCGAAGCUUUGAAUUUAAGCCCCAGUAAACGGCGGCCGUAACUAUAACGGUCCUAAGGUAGCGAAAUUCCUUGUCGGGUAAGUUCCGACCCGCACGAAAGGCGUAAUGAUUUGAGCGCUGUCUCGACAAUGCAUCCGGUGAAAUUGAAGUACCAGUGAAGAUGCUGGUUACCUGCGCCAGGACGGAAAGACCCCAUGGAGCUUUACUCCAGUCUGGUACUGGGACUCGGUAUUGCAUGUACAGGAUAGGUGGGAGGCUAGGAGAUGGUAACGCCAGUUGCCAUGGAGCCGCUGUUGGGAUACCACCCUUGCAGUAUUGGGUUUCUAACCAGCCGCCGUGACCCGGCGGUGGGACAAUGCCAGACGGGGAGUUUGACUGGGGCGGUCGCCUCCGAAAGGGUAUCGGAGGCGCCCAAAGGUUCCCUCAGAAUGGACGGAAACCAUUCGAAGAGUGCAAAGGCAGAAGGGAGCUUGACUGCGACACCGACGGGUGGAGCAGGUACGAAAGUAGGGCUUAGUGAUCCGGUGGUAUUAAGUGGGAAUGCCAUCGCUCAACGGAUAAAAGCUACCCUGGGGAUAACAGGCUUAUCACUCCCAAGAGUUCACAUCGACGGAGUGGUUUGGCACCUCGAUGUCGGCUCAUCGCAUCCUGGGGCUGUAGUA